GGCAUCGGCCGGGAAUCGAACCCAGGUCUCCCGCGUGGCAGGCGAGCAUUCUACCACUGAACCACCGAUGC
Molecule: transfer RNA, 71 nt
Filed under: Cordylochernes scorpioides
Lineage: Eukaryota; Metazoa; Arthropoda; Arachnida; Pseudoscorpiones; Chernetidae
Description: tRNA-Gly
Source: RNAcentral